RNAcentral lists this ribosomal RNA (365 nucleotides) under uncultured bacterium. Its description in RNAcentral is "bacterial SSU rRNA". It matches the Rfam family "Bacterial small subunit ribosomal RNA", at positions 28 to 376 of the family's 1533-position model. The record is from RNAcentral.
GACGAACGCUGGCGGCGUGCUUAACACAUGCAAGUCGAACGAGAAUCUGUGGAUCGAGGAUUCGUCCAAGUGAAGCAGAGGACAGUGGCGGACGGGUGAGUAACGCGUGAGGAACCUGCCUUUCAGAGGGGGACAACAGUUGGAAACGACUGCUAAUACCGCAUGAUACAUUUGGGUGGCAUCAUCUGAAUGUCAAAGAUUUAUUGCUGAAAGAUGGCCUCGCGUCUGAUUAGCUAGUUGGUGGGGUAACGGCUCACCAAGGCGACGAUCAGUAGCCGGUCUGAGAGGAUGAACGGCCACAUUGGGACUGAGAUACGGCCCAGACUCCUACGGGAGGCAGCAGUGGGGAAUAUUGGGCAAUGGGG